AUGAACGCUGGCGGCGUGCCUAAUACAUGCAAGUCGAGCGAACAGACGAGGAGCUUGCUCCUCUGACGUUAGCGGCGGACGGGUGAGUAACACGUGGAUAACCUACCUAUAAGACUGGGAUAACUUCGGGAAACCGGAGCUAAUACCGGAUAAUAUAUUGAACCGCAUGGUUCAAUAGUGAAAGACGGUUUUGCUGUCACUUAUAGAUGGAUCCGCGCCGCAUUAGCUAGUUGGUAAGGUAACGGCUUACCAAGGCGACGAUGCGUAGCCGACCUGAGAGGGUGAUCGGCCACACUGGAACUGAGACACGGUCCAGACUCCUACGGGAGGCAGCAGUAGGGAAUCUUCCUCAAUGGGCGAAAGCCUGACGGAGCAACGCCGCGUGAGUGAUGAAGGUCUUCGGAUCGUAAAACUCUGUUAUUAGGGAAGAACAAAUGUGUAAGUAACUAUGCACGUCUUGACGGUACCUAAUCAGAAAGCCACGGCUAACUACGU
This 495-nucleotide ribosomal RNA is filed under the name uncultured bacterium. Its description in RNAcentral is "partial 16S ribosomal RNA". It matches the Rfam family "Bacterial small subunit ribosomal RNA", at positions 29 to 506 of the family's 1533-position model. The record is from RNAcentral.